GAGGAAAAUGCUGGAGAGAGGGGAGGGCUGGGGGGGGGGGGGGUUUCAGGACAAAGGGGAAAGCAGAUAGAGGCGAGCCGGUCGCGACUGCGCAUAAAAAGGAUUCGCGCAAUGUCGCCGCGUCGACUAUCGACUUGGCGAGUGCGUACCGGGUGGCCGAGCUGCGAGGACGACCUGUUGCGGGUGCCUCCACUGGCCUGCACUCCACACACUGUGCAUCAGCGCCCAGCUGUGCGUCCCCCGGAGACAGCUCAACACAUUAUGACGCCUGCGGUGAGCGUGCAACGGCUGAUGCCCAAGUUUGGAACUCGAGUGCCAGCCCUGUGGACUGCGGCAGACAAGUUCCUCGCGAGGGCCAAGGCGACGCAGCCGUCGACUGCACCUGCUAUAGACAACAUUGUCAUCGAACCUACGCCAGAAUCCCGGUUUCAAGAGGUGCUGGACCACGUGACCCCCAUCUUCCUGCGGGACGAGCCCCUGUCGCACAGCUUCCCGCCGUGCACCACGGGCAGGAGGGAGCGCGACUUCCGGCAGUAUGCCAUGGAGCAGCUGCGCUCCGGACUCUCCGUGAUGGCCACAGACGGACCCGGGGGGCCCGUCGUUGGCUCCUGCCUCAACCGGCCCUUCUCCAAGCACUACCUGGUGACCGCCUGCGAGCAGCAGCCCGAGCCUGAUGACCUUCCAGAGGACCCGCUGGUGCCGAAUGUGGUCCGCCUGUUGACCACGGUCCAUCGCCAACUGGACCUGUUCUCUGCCUUCGGAGUGGACGAGAUCUUCGAACUGGGGCUCGCGUCCGUGGAACCCACACACGUAGGAAGAGGCAUCGCGUCGCGGAUGAUGCGCUGCAGCCUGGAGCUGGCGGCGCAGCGCGGACUGCGGGCGGCCAAGGGCGACUGCACCGGCGUGGCGUCGGCGCGCGCCGCCGUCCGCGCCGGCAUGAGCGUCGUCUUCCGGCUGCCGUACGCCAGCUACUCGCCCGCCGGCCGCGUCGUCUUCCACACGACUGGCGAGGCCAACCCGGAGCUGACCGUGGUGGCAGCGCGCCUCCAGCCCGCGCCGCCCCACGUGCUGCCGGCCGAGCUGCCGCAGGCGCCUCGCCACUGAGCCGGCUGGCCGCUGACCCGACGGACGCUUCUCCAUUUACGGUCGCUGGCGCUAAUUCUUUUUGUCAAGGCUUUCCUGGAACAGCCAAAUAGCGCUAGCCGUUGAAUAUUCAUUAAGGAACAGUAAUGGGUUUCACUGGCGCCAGGCUAUCACUGGCGCCAAUCCAUCACUGGCGCCAAUCCCUCACUGGGACGUGUACAUCACUGGCACCAGCACAUUGGCGCCAGUGCAUCUUUGGCGACAGUACAUUGGCGCCAGUAUAUAAGCGCCAGUACAUGAUUGGCGCCAGUACAUCAUGAAGCGCUGUCUCUAAGAUGUACUGGCGCAAAUGUGCUUGCGCCUUUAUGUCACUGGCGCCAGUACAUCACUGGCCCCAGCACAUUGGUCCUAGUACAUUGGCGCCAGUACAUUGGAGCCAGUACAUGAUUGUCGCCAGUUCAUUGGCGCCAGUCGUAAGCUAACGCUAUUGGUGCCAGCGCUUGCGCCAACCCAUCUCUGCACCAGUCCUCCAAUGGCGCGUCCGUCACGGGCGAUAGUCCUUUACUGGCACUAGUUCUUCACUCGCCCCAGUCGCCCACUGGCACUAUUCUUACUUUGGUGGCGGCCCUUCACUGGCGCCAGUCCAUCUCUAGCGACAGCCCAACACAGGCAUUCCUGCUGGUGACAGUGUUCUUGCUCUAAUCUGUGACACAUUUCUGUGCUCUGUCACUGUAUUCAUUGUAUUCUUCUGGAGCCAGUCAUUUUUGGGCCAAAUAAUCUUUAUAUCUUAAACACUUAUCACUAAGAAGCGCUGAUAUCAGAAUUCCCAAUGGCGCCAGUUAUUUAUGGCGUACUGUCGCCAUUUAUUAGCAGUGGUCCAGUUAUUAGCAUAUUUUCUGCACCUGCUAGACAGCAGGUUCAAAUUUUGUAACUGAAAUAAUCAGCAAGUAGUUGCAGAAAAUAAACUUUAUUCCUUAACUGGUUUCAGGCACACAGUUUCCUUCAGAACAGUUUAACUAUCGCAUUAUGUGCUUGUGUCGCAACUGAUGCUAUAGUUACAAGCUUUUGCAGAAGGGCGCCAAGUGCCUGAAGCCGCUUAAGGGAACAAAAUUUCUUUUGUGCAACUGAUUCCUGAUUAUUUCAAUGAAUACAACAACGGUUGCAGAGAAUGGAUAAAACACUGACAUUCAGUUAUACAUGAAUCUGGCGCCAGUCGCAGCUGUCAUAAGGUGCCAGUAAAUUUGCUCGUCGACGCUUCCUUUUUUGGCCUACAAAUUUCGGCGCCAAUAUAAUACUGCCAAAACUAGAGCAACAGUGUACUAGUGGUGACUGAGCUGUUGUCACUACUUUUUCUGGAUCAAUAAGAAUGCAUCACAAUAUUCAGCUGUCACACAUGUAUAAUUGUAGUGCCAGCAACUGUCACCUGCUUAUCUGUAUGUUUGUUUCGACAUUCAUCGCUUUUUCAUUAACAUCGUUAUUUUGUGGACCAUGUUUAUUAGCUCCAAUCCGACUGUGCUAGCUACAACAGUUUAUUGACGGUAGCCAAGUUAGUAGAUUUUUUUUUGUCGGUUAGAAAUUGCUACCAAAGUAUUCAGUAACCACAUAUAUAUAAUUCUGGUUCCAGUCACUCGGUGGCGAUGAAUUCAUAUGUCAAUAUUACGCAAAUCCCAGUAUCUCAGUAAAUACGUCGUACUGAACUCAUUAUACUGACGCCAAUAAUCCUGUAAUUGUGGAAACUCCAAUUUCAGUGGCACUGCGUUCGCAGCUCCACAAACACUUCAGAGAUUUAUGACAGCAGUCUACCAGAGCCAGCGCCUAAUUUAACUACCACAAAUAACACUAUCAAAAUGCACGAUUUCCACGUUCAUCAUGUAUCGGUGCUACUCUAUUUUUAUAUAUAUCUAUAUUCAAGGUUUGUUCAUACCUAACUACCUGCGCUACAUUGUAAAAUCCCUGCAUCAUCACCUCGCUCCAUCUACAUGCUAUAGUAACGCUGGAAUGCUUCUUGAUCAUGAUAAACAUUGUUGAGUUUGGAAGAAGUUCCGAAUGUAUUAUCUUGUGGAUAGAUAUCAAGGUAUAUCUGUUACUGUGAUAUUUGCUGUAAAUUACUCAAUGUGACCAAUUGUGCAUGAAAGCUAUAAGAGUAGAAUUAUUCCGUAUCAAUUACAUGUAUGAAGUAAAAUACACAAUAAAGUUUAAGUAUACUUACUUUAAAAAAAAAAAAAAAAAAAAAAGUA
Molecule: RNA transcript, 3320 nt
Organism: Schistocerca gregaria
Lineage: Eukaryota; Metazoa; Arthropoda; Insecta; Orthoptera; Acrididae
Exons: 6
Source: RefSeq, a predicted model, not a curated record